AGCAAGCCUAGAGUCGGUGUCACAUGAUGGAGUUUAUGACGUCACCAUUACAGGGUUUCUCCACGACGAGGAGCUCAACUCACCAGUCAUUGUCGACUGUGAGCUCAGCAUUCCCGAGACCUCCUACAUGCGGAGGAAGCUGAUGCACUACUACCCAGGAAGAGCUCUUGCGUGGAUAGCAGAUGACACCAGUGGUGCAGUGCUUCUACGGGUGAACUACUCGGGAAUCGCAAUGUUGUUUGUUCUGUUGAAUUGUUGCUUGAAAUCAUGAUCAAGCAGUGAUUGGACUUUGUGAAGAACUAUUUUUAAUAUUCAUCUGUGCCAUAGAUCACAUAUCUAACCAUAUUUUGGAAUAUAUUGUCUACCAAACAUUGUACUCGUAUAUGUGCUAACAGUAGAGGUUCAACCAAUCUUGGCUGAAAUAACUACAUAAAAUUUAGAAUUUCUUUAAUUGGAUAGGUGUCAAUUAUUCAAUAAACAUAAUCCUUAGUGUCGACUAAAUAUUUAGAUCCCUCCACGUUUCAACCAAGAU
Long non-coding RNA from Macrosteles quadrilineatus (aster leafhopper), 532 nucleotides. RefSeq lists it as uncharacterized. The record is from RefSeq and is a predicted model, not a curated record. NCBI's taxonomy places the organism in Eukaryota, Metazoa, Arthropoda, Insecta, Hemiptera, Cicadellidae. The transcript has 3 exons.